Molecule: ribosomal RNA, 408 nt
Filed under: uncultured bacterium
Lineage: Bacteria
Description: partial 16S ribosomal RNA
Rfam family: Bacterial small subunit ribosomal RNA
Source: RNAcentral
GAUGAACGCUGGCGGCGUGCCUAACACAUGCAAGUCGAACGGAGUGGCGGACGGGUGAGUAACGCGUGGGCAACGUGCCAUAUACAGGGGGAUAGCAGCUGGAAACGGCUUGUAAGACCGCGUAUGAUAGGAUGGGCCCGCGUCCGAUUAGCCAGUUGGCAUGGUACAAGCCUACCAAAGCGACGAUCGGUAGCCGGACUGAGAGGUCGGGCGGCCACAUUGGGACUGAGACACGGCCCAGACUCCUACGGGAGGCAGCAGUGGGGGAUAUUGCACAACGGAGGAAACUCUGAUGCAGCGACGCCGCGUGAGUGAAGAAGUAUUUCGGUAUGUAAAGCUCUAUCAGCAGGGAAGCGGUACCUGACUAAGAAGCCCCGGCUAACUACGUGCCAGCAGCCGCGGUAAUUC